Molecule: ribosomal RNA, 296 nt
Filed under: uncultured bacterium
Lineage: Bacteria
Description: partial 16S ribosomal RNA
Rfam family: Bacterial small subunit ribosomal RNA
Source: RNAcentral
GGAUUAGAUACCCUGGUAGUCCACGCCGUAAACGAUGGAUGCUAGGUGUCGGGACUCUUAGAGUUUCGGUGCCGCAGUUAACGCAUUAAGCAUCCCGCCUGGGGAGUACGGCCGCAAGGUUAAAACUCAAAGGAAUUGACGGGGGCCCGCACAAGCGGUGGAGCAUGUGGUUUAAUUCGAUGCAACGCGAAGAACCUUACCAGCCCUUGACAUCCCGGUCGCGAUUUCCAGAGAUGGAUUUCUUCAUUUAGUUGGACCGGUGACAGGUGCUGCAUGGCUGUCGUCAGCUCGUGCCG